This 460-nucleotide ribosomal RNA is filed under the name uncultured bacterium. RNAcentral describes it as "partial 16S ribosomal RNA". It matches the Rfam family "Bacterial small subunit ribosomal RNA", at positions 338 to 795 of the family's 1533-position model. The record is from RNAcentral.
CCUACGGGAGGCAGCAGUGAGGAAUAUUGGUCAAUGGGCUUACGCCUGAACCAGCCAAGUCGCGUGAGGGAAGACUGCCCUAUGGGUUGUAAACCUCUUUUGUCAGGGAGCAACGCCGGCUACGUGUAGCCGUACUGAGAGUCCCUGAAGAAAAAGCAUCGUCUAACUCCGUGCCAGCAGCCGCGGUAAUACGGAGGAUGCGCGCGUUAUCCGGAUUUAUUGGGUUGAAAGGGUGCGUAGGCGGAAUGCCAAGUCAGCGGUAAAAUCGCGGGGCUCAACCUCGCUCCGCCGUUGAAACUGGCGUUCUUGAGUGGGCGAGAAGUAUGCGGAAUGCGUGGUGUAGCGGUGAAAUGCAUAGAUAUCACGCAGAACUCCGAUUGCGAAGGCAGCAUACCGGCGCCCAACUGACGCUGAAGCACGAAAGCGUGGGUAUCGAACAGGAUUAGAUACCCCUGUAGUC